Molecule: small RNA, 54 nt
Filed under: Sinorhizobium meliloti 2011
Lineage: Bacteria; Pseudomonadati; Pseudomonadota; Alphaproteobacteria; Hyphomicrobiales; Rhizobiaceae
Description: putative ncRNA
Source: RNAcentral
GAAACUCCAGCGACCAGGGCAUGAUGCGGCCGCCGCGUGCAAGGGUGAGAGACU